This 453-nucleotide ribosomal RNA is filed under the name uncultured bacterium. RNAcentral describes it as "bacterial SSU rRNA". It matches the Rfam family "Bacterial small subunit ribosomal RNA", at positions 340 to 786 of the family's 1533-position model. The record is from RNAcentral.
UACGGGAGGCAGCAGUGGGGAAUAUUGCACAAUGGGCGCAAGCCUGAUGCAGCCAUGCCGCGUGUAUGAAGAAGGCCUUCGGGUUGUAAAGUACUUUCAGUCGUGAGGAAGGUGUUAAGGUUAAUAACCUUAGCAAUUGACGUUAGCGACAGAAGAAGCACCGGCUAACUCCGUGCCAGCAGCCGCGGUAAUACGGAGGGUGCGAGCGUUAAUCGGAAUUACUGGGCGUAAAGGGCACGCAGGCGGUUAAUUAAGUUGGAUGUGAAAUCCCCGGGCUUAACCUGGGAAUGGCAUUCAAGCUGGUUAGCUAGAGUCUUGUAGAGGGGGUAGAAUUCCAUGUGUAGCGGUGAAAUGCGUAGAGAUGUGGAGGAAUACCGGUGGCGAAGGCGGCCCCUGGACAAAGGCUGACGCUCAUGUGCGAAAGCGUGGGGAGCGAAACAGGGAUUAGAUACC